GUAACGCUGACAGAAUGCUAACACCAUGCGAUCUAGACUGGAAUUCACCUUCGGCUGAUAGUUCAGGUGGCGGACGGGUGAGUAACGCGUAAAGAACUUGCCCUCUAGACUGGGACAACUGUUGGAAACGACAGCUAAUACCGGAUAUUAUGGGAACCUCGCAUGGGGAACCUAUGAAAGGCUAUAUGCGCUAGAGGAGAGCUUUGCGUGCCAUUAGGUAGAUUGGUAGGGUAAUGGCCUACCAAGCCGACGAUGGCUAGCCGGCCUGAGAGGGUGAUCGGCCACAAGGGGACUGAGACACGGCCCUUACUCCUACAGGGAGGCAAGCAGUGGGGAAUAUUGGACAAUGGACCAAAAGUCUGAUCCAGCAAUUCUGUGUGCACGAUGAAGGUCUUCGGAUCGUAAAGUGCUUUCAGUAGGGAAGAAAAAAAUGGCGGUACCUACAGAAGAAGCGACGGCUAAAUACGUGCCAGCAGCCGCGGUAAUACGUAUGUCGCAAGCGUUAUCCGGCAAUUAUUGGGCGUAAAGCGCGUCUAGGCGGUCUUUUAAGUCUGAUGUGAAACUGCGGGGCUCAACUCCGUAUUGCGUUUGGAAACUGGAAGACUAGAGUAUCAGAGAGGUGGGCGGAACUACCACGUGUACGAGGUGAAAUUCGAAGAUAUUUGUAGGAAUGCGAUUGGGAAAGCCAGCUCA
RNAcentral lists this ribosomal RNA (693 nucleotides) under uncultured bacterium. Its description in RNAcentral is "bacterial SSU rRNA". It matches the Rfam family "Bacterial small subunit ribosomal RNA", at positions 30 to 728 of the family's 1533-position model. The record is from RNAcentral.